UUUUUUUUUUUUUUAAUAUUAUAACUGAGCUAGAUGCUGAUGUAGGUAUUUUACUUGUUCGCUAGUCAUAAAAGUUUUAAACAACUCUUGCAGGCAAUGCAAACACCAUUUAGGAGCUAUCUUCAGGAGAUGCUGGCUCUGGUUAAAAGGGAGAAUGCAGAACGUGAGGCUUUGGGAGCUUUGCCUCUUUAUCAGCGUACACUUCCUUGAAGAACUCAUCUCCCUUUAAUCUUUUUCCAUUGAGAAUAACUACUGUACUGCUUGUAGAUCUCCCUGGUGGAGAUAGAAAUAACAUGAUGCUUGUUUGCUUCUAUGAUCCAACACUUCAAGUUAGUCAUCCUAUGGGCUUGGUCAUUGUAAACCUAUAUUUUUUUGUAUGGGCCGUACAUCUUCACCAGAGCUCCAAUAUUGCUCUGGUUGGAUUGGUUUGACAGGUUUUGUUGGUGUUUCCGAGUGUUAUACUUCCUGGAACAUAAUUUUUCUUUACCUUUCAUUUUGUUGUGGAUUUUCCAUUAAAUGUUGCAAUAUACAUUGGUUGUAAGAGUAGUUGCAUCCCUUCAUUGCCA
Molecule: long non-coding RNA, 566 nt
Organism: Lycium ferocissimum
Lineage: Eukaryota; Viridiplantae; Streptophyta; Magnoliopsida; Solanales; Solanaceae
Exons: 2
Source: RefSeq, a predicted model, not a curated record